Molecule: long non-coding RNA, 314 nt
Filed under: Hordeum vulgare
Lineage: Eukaryota; Viridiplantae; Streptophyta; Magnoliopsida; Poales; Poaceae
Description: long non-coding RNA (HVUL_LNC003042)
Source: RNAcentral
CGGCAGCCAGUUCGCCCUCGCCAGCCAGGCGUGCGCCAUCCUCCCGCCCACCAGCCCGGAGCACCACCAUCAUGACGACGACGACGAUGAUGAUGAUGACGACGACGACGAGGAUGAUGAUGACGAGGACGAGGACGAGGACGAUGACGAGGACGAUAAGGGAGGCGGCGGAGGUGGCGGCGACAGCGGAGGCGGCGGCGACAAGGGGGGUGGCGGCGGUGGAGGCGGAGGUGGAGGUGGAGGCGGGGGUGGUGAUGAUAGUGGCGGCGGCGGCGGCGGUGGCAACGCGACGUCGCUGAUCACCGUCGACCCNN